This 633-nucleotide long non-coding RNA is filed under the name Chinchilla lanigera (long-tailed chinchilla). Its description in RNAcentral is "lncRNA (ENSCLAG00000027027.1)". The record is from RNAcentral. Lineage: Eukaryota; Metazoa; Chordata; Mammalia; Rodentia; Chinchillidae.
CUCCCUGCCGCUGUGCGCACUGCCGAGGAAACCCAAGCCAGUGACAGGGAUGCCGGCGUGGACCCCACACAGGUGGAGAGCUGAGAAGCAUGGUGCCCUUCCCAGAGACGGCCACGAGGAAAAUGCGAGGGGGCCCUUCUGGAAGCAGGUCGGGCCCAGGCCAGCAGAGGCCUCCGAAGAAGGCCCCCGAGGGACAGCGACCAGGAUUUACUUAGCAGGCACAGGACGACUCCUGCCAAGAACAUGGUGCACCUCCAGGAGACCCCGGGGCUCAGGCUGCAGCGUGACGGGCCGGGCGGUGCUCCUGGAGAGGGGACGGGCAGGGGCAGGCAGUGCACUCUGUGUUUGGUUCCAGGACAGAGUGUCACAGAGCCCAUCGUGUGGCACCCCAAGCCCAUGGGUGCUGGGAGCCGCUGGAGCUGGGUCUUGGUCUUCUGUGUGAGGGCAGAACCAAGCCAGGGUGCCUCAGCAAGCUACCUCAGCAUUGAAAAAAGCAUCCUGCCCGGACAAUUACAGUUGUUGGUGGCUAGGCAACAGUACCUCUCCGGACGCGUAUAAAGUAAACGCCCCUACUGUUAAAGGCAGCUCUUCCCAUCAGGUAAGAGGUAACUCCACCUGACCCCGGCUAUUCUC